RNAcentral lists this ribosomal RNA (253 nucleotides) under uncultured bacterium. RNAcentral describes it as "partial 16S ribosomal RNA". It matches the Rfam family "Bacterial small subunit ribosomal RNA", at positions 524 to 776 of the family's 1533-position model. The record is from RNAcentral.
UACGGGGGGAGCAAGCGUUGUCCGGAAUUACUGGGCGUAAAGGGCGCGUAGGCGGCCUUCUAAGUCGAACGUGAAAUCCCCGGGCUCAACCCGGGAACUGCGUCCGAUACUGGAAGGCUUGAAUCCGGGAGAGGGAUGUGGAAUUCCAGGUGUAGCGGUGAAAUGCGUAGAUAUUGGGAGGAACAUCGGUGGCGAAGGCGGCUACCUGGACGGGUACUGACGCUGAUGCGCGAAAGCUAGGGGAGCAAACAGG